This 741-nucleotide ribosomal RNA is filed under the name uncultured bacterium. RNAcentral's name for it is "bacterial SSU rRNA". It matches the Rfam family "Bacterial small subunit ribosomal RNA", at positions 62 to 787 of the family's 1533-position model. The record is from RNAcentral.
UCGCACGAGAACGCUCCGGCUUUGCCGGGGCAAGUACAGUGGCGGACGGGUGCGUAUCGCGUAGAUAACCUGCCCUUAGGCGCGGGACAAUCACGGGAAACCGUGGCUAAUACCGCACGUCGUCUGGGCCCCGCAUGGGGACCAGAUGAAAGCUUGGGGUUACCCAGGCGCCUUGGGAUGGGUCUGCGUUGGAUUAGCUUGUUGGUGAGGCAACGGCUCACCAAGGCAACGAUCCAUAGCUGGUCUGAGAGGACGAUCAGCCACACUGGGACUGAGACACGGCCCAGACUCCUACGGGAGGCAGCAGUGGGGAAUCUUGCACAAUGGGGUCACCCCUGAUGCAGCCAUGCCGCGUGGAGGAAGACACCCCUAUGGGGCGUAAACUCCUUUUCUGAAUGAAGAAACCCCUGUAGGUUCAGGGCGCGACGGUAGUUCAGGAAUAAGCACCGGCUAACUCCGUGCCAGCAGCCGCGGUAAUACGGAGGGUGCAAGCGUUGUCCGGAAUCACUGGGUGUAAAGGGUGUGCAGGCGGGGCAACAAGUCGGAUGUGAAACCCCAUGGCUCAACCAUGGAGGUGCAUUCGAAACUGUUGCUCUUGAGUCCCGGAGAGGCUGUCGGAAUUCGUGGUGUAGCGGUGAAAUGCGUAGAUAUCACGAGGAACACCAGAGGCGAAAGCGGGCAGCUGGACGGGUACUGACGCUCAGGCGCGAAAGCGUGGGGAGCAAACAGGAUUAGAUACCC